UAGGCCGGAUGAGGUCAAGGUGAGCAUGACGGUGCGUUGGUCGACGGCGGCGCUGGAGCUCACUGGUGCAGUGCAAGAAGAUGGGCUCCAGUUGGUCGAUGGGGUGAUGUGGUUCCGACUGGCGUC
Molecule: small nucleolar RNA, 126 nt
Filed under: Leersia perrieri
Lineage: Eukaryota; Viridiplantae; Streptophyta; Magnoliopsida; Poales; Poaceae
Description: snoRNA snoZ206
Rfam family: Small nucleolar RNA Z206
About the family: Z206 is a member of the C/D class of snoRNA which contain the C (UGAUGA) and D (CUGA) box motifs.
Source: Rfam by way of RNAcentral